GUAUGAUGAGAUGGUAGUUGUGUUGGUGGUGUAUAAUUGGUCUUAGUUAUGUUGGUGGUGUAUGAUGAGAUGGUAGUUGUGUUGGUGGUGUAUAAUUGGUCUUAGUUGUGUUGGUGGUGUAUGAUGAGAUGGUAGUUGUGUUGGUGGUGUAUAAUUGGUCUUAGUUGUGUUGGUGGUGUAUGAUGAGACGGUAGUUGUGUUGGUAGUGUAUAAUUGGUCUUAGUUGUGUUGGUGGUGUUAUGAUGAGAUGGUUAUUGUGUUGGCAGUGUAUACUUGGUUUUAGUUGUGUUGGUGGAGUAUAAUUGGUCUUAGUUGUAUUGGUGGUGUAUGAUGAGAUGGUAGUCGUGUUGGUGGUGUAUAAUUGGUCUUAGUUGUGUGU
This 379-nucleotide long non-coding RNA is filed under the name Mytilus galloprovincialis (Mediterranean mussel). The record is from RNAcentral. Lineage: Eukaryota; Metazoa; Mollusca; Bivalvia; Mytilida; Mytilidae.